ACUUAAUGAAAAUAUAAGAGAUAAAUCAUGGUAAAAACUCGAAUUCGAGGUUCUAUAAAGAAGUUUUCAUCCAAUGCUUUUCAGGAGCUGCUUGAAUUCAUUUUGCUAAUCAUUCUACAUUUUCCUACAGUUCACUACUCCAGAAUUUUGGCCAUUUUAACUGUGGGAGAAGGAUUGGCUCUGACCUCUAAGGCAGUGGCGGAGGCAGAAAUUCUAUCAAGGGGGUUCAAAUAAAAAAAAUGUUGUUGCCUGGAAUCGAACCUGUGACCCAAAGCUCACAUAGGCGAAAUCUUGAACCCCAUAAACCAUUGAGCUACUCCUUUGACAUAUGCUCAAGGGGUUCAAUUUUAAAUAUAUAUACGUAUACAAAAAAAUUGAUCUUAUAUAUAUAGUGUAAUUUUUUUUCCGAGGGGGGUCGGAUGACCCCCCUGGACACACUCUACAUCCGCCACUGCUCUAAGGAUGUGCUCGGAGUCCUAGGAACCCGAAAACUUUGAUUUCUCAUAAGGUGCGAGAGUCCUAAAAGCAACAUCUGCCGAUGACAACAUAGUCCAACUAGGUAUACUGCUAUGAAGCACAGGAGUGGCAUUCGAUAC
RNAcentral lists this long non-coding RNA (596 nucleotides) under Solanum tuberosum (potato). RNAcentral's name for it is "long non-coding RNA (STUB_LNC005225)". The record is from RNAcentral. Lineage: Eukaryota; Viridiplantae; Streptophyta; Magnoliopsida; Solanales; Solanaceae.